GACGAACGCUGGCGGCGUGCUUAACACAUGCAAGUCGAACGAAGUGGCGAACGGGUGAGUAACGCGUAAUCAACCUGCCCUUCAGAGGGGGACAACAGUUGGAAACGACUGCUAAUACCGCAUACUGAAGGUGGGGAUUGCGUUGGAUUAGCUAGUUGGAGGGGUAACGGCCCACCAAGGCGAUGAUCAGUAGCCGGGCUGGGAGGAUGAACGGCCAAAUUUGGACUGGGACACGGCCCAGAACCCUACGGGGGGCAGCAGGUGGGAAACUUCCGCAAUGGACGGAAGUCUGACGGAGCAACGCCGGGGGGGUGAUGACGGCCUUCGGGUUGUAAAACUAUGUUAAUCGGGACGCGGUACCGGAAUAGAAAGCCACGGCUAACUACGUGCCAGCAGCCGCGGUAAUAC
This 408-nucleotide ribosomal RNA is filed under the name uncultured bacterium. RNAcentral describes it as "partial 16S ribosomal RNA". It matches the Rfam family "Bacterial small subunit ribosomal RNA", at positions 28 to 526 of the family's 1533-position model. The record is from RNAcentral.